UUGCAUCCACAGCAGGGGUUGGUUGAGAAGGUUUGGAAUCUUGAGUGAAGAGGAGAUUCCAAGGAGAGGCAGUUGAUCUCUCUAUCUUGAGAGAGCAAAGGUGAUGGUAUGAUCAGAGAUUGGCUCCUGAGCUAUUCAAAAUCCCUCAUUGAACGUAAUUUGCCAUUUCCCCCCAAAGAUACCAGGAAGUGUGGCAGAAACCUGAGAAGAAUAAGAAACAGCAUAACAAGAUUUCACACAGCUCCUGUGACACCCUGGGUCUGGACAUUGGCACUGCUGUGACAAAGACCGGGGGUCACAAACCUGAACCUCUCAAAGACCAGAGCUUUUAGAAGAAUCUUAUGAAGAAAUGAAAGAAAAACAGAAGAGAAGAGGAGAAAGGAAAAAGAAAGAAAUAGAUUUGUAUCCAAGUGUAUUGCUACUAGAAGAAAAGGAAUGGCACAUCCCAAGCGGACAAACACAGUCACAUGGCCUCAGUCAUCUACUUCAAUCUAUACAUGAAAGGAAUACCAACUAGACUCUACCAAACAGAAAUUGAAGAGGAAAGUGAAGAAAUGCACCAAAGCAGAGCCUUAUCUCUCUACUGCCCUCCAUUUUUUCAAGUUAAAACUAAUGAUGUUGAGGUCUGUGACUGCAGAUGUGGGCAAAAAGCAGGAUGCUGCCAGGAAGUAAGUCAAGUAAAGAGAAGCAAGAUAUUCUGGAUAAGACUAUCUUUAAUUUUGUCAAAAUUUGACCAACUGGUCAACCAAAGAGAAUCAGCACAAAAUGGCUACAUAUGCUCCAAAGUCUAUGGGACUAUUGCAAUAGCUAAAUAUCCUGUGAAGCCUCAAGAAUACUGGUCUCUUCACCAUUAUAUCAAUAUAAUACAACCUGUGGAAUUUUGAAUACCAGAUUUUGGAUGCCAACUCUCUCAAUUUAUCCAAAACUAUGCCUUUUCAUAAUAUUCUUACCACUACUGAUAGAUAAUAAUAUAUUCUGCUCUCCAGAUGUGUAUAUGUAACCUCCCUAUAGAUAUAGAAAAAUAGUCUCAGAAUAAAGAACAAAAACACUGAAUACUUAUCUAUUAA
This 1067-nucleotide long non-coding RNA is filed under the name Monodelphis domestica (gray short-tailed opossum). Its description in RNAcentral is "lncRNA (ENSMODG00000030886.2)". The record is from RNAcentral. Lineage: Eukaryota; Metazoa; Chordata; Mammalia; Didelphimorphia; Didelphidae.